GACAGAACUACGCAGCAACUUCUUUCUGUGGAUGACUCAUCAGCCAGAACCAGGCCUCUCCAGAUGCAGCAUAAGCACAGGCCUUUUGGUCAUGUUUAUGACACAAGCAGAUGGGCAUUUCAUAGCUUAGGAGCAUUGCUGUGCAAAAGUGAGACACUGAAAAUGGCAACUAAUGACAGUAAAAACAUUACAACUCCUCCUCCUAUUAUCUGUGAUUUUGAAGCACCCUUCACGCUCAGAACAAGGAAUCACUUGCUAAAUAAAUUGCAUGAAUCUGGGGGAGGUGAUGGCCUGGUGGUAUUGUCACUGGACUGCUAAUCUAGAGACCCGAAUAACGUUCUGGAUGUUUCCCUGCGUUGGUGAUGUCAUUUCCUGCUCUUUUUCUCAGAGGGUGGUAGAUUGAUUUGGAGCCAAUGUGUUUGUUGAUGGAGUUCCGGUUGGAAUGCCAUGCUUCUAGGAAUUCUCGUGCAUGUCUCUGUGUUUGGCUUGUCCUAGGACGGAUCUUCUCAAAAGUUGCUGACAUUCUAGGGAUCUGGGUUUGAAUCCUACAGCAGAUUGUGGAAUUUGAAUGCCAGUAUCUAGAAUGAAGAGUCUAAUGAUGACAGUGAAUCUGUUGUCGAUUGUUGGGAAAAACCCAUUUGUUUCACUAAUGUCCUUUUUAGGGAAUGAAACUGCCAUCUUUAUUUGGUCUGGUCUACAUGUGACUCCAGACCCAAAACAACAUUGUUGACUCUGAACUGUCCCCUGGACAAUAAAUGCUGCCCACCCAGUGAUGCCCUCAUCCUGUGAAUGAAUUUUUUUUUAAUAAAGAAGCUAAUAACUCAUACACCUAUCAUGAUUUUA
Long non-coding RNA from Stegostoma tigrinum, 843 nucleotides. RefSeq lists it as uncharacterized. The record is from RefSeq and is a predicted model, not a curated record. The transcript has 3 exons. NCBI's taxonomy places the organism in Eukaryota, Metazoa, Chordata, Chondrichthyes, Orectolobiformes, Stegostomatidae.